Molecule: ribosomal RNA, 253 nt
Filed under: uncultured bacterium
Lineage: Bacteria
Description: partial 16S ribosomal RNA
Rfam family: Bacterial small subunit ribosomal RNA
Source: RNAcentral
UACGGGGGGGGCAAGCGUUGUUCGGAAUUACUGGGCGUAAAGGGCUCGUAGGUGGCCAACUAAGUCGGAUGUGAAAUCCCCAAGCUUAACUUGGGAACUGCAUCCGAUACUGGAUGGCUUGAAUCCGGGAGAGGGAUGCAGAAUUCCAGGUGUAGCGGUGAAAUGCGUAGAUAUCUGGAGGAAUACCGGUGGCGAAGGCGGCAUCCUGGACCGGCAUUGACGCUGAGGAGCGAAAGCUAGGGGAGCAAACGGG